AAAAUGUUAUGGAAACAUAUGAAUUUAGUGUAGUCAUAUAUUGAAAAAUAAAGGCGUAACAUGCUCUAUAUGAACAGAAGCAAAAUGAAUAAUCAGUGCAGUUAUGCUAAAUUAUUAUGGAAUGCUUAUGGUCACACUAUCAUGGGUGUGGAUUUAUGUGUCAUUUAUAUUUGAAAUGCAUGUGGAGUAGUGAUUACUAAUCGUGACAAAGUGACCCAUAAUAAAGUGAGCAGUAAACUAAAAUAAAUCAACGCAUUUGUAUAAGAAGACCACCCGUCUGCUAUGACGUCAUGUUCUUGAAGCCAAGAUGUUAAACGUCAAAUUGCCAAAACGAAAGCAAAGAAUGAAAACAAGAAGAAAAACAACAAUAAACAAAAUUUGUAUUCUUGACUCUCAGUUCAAGACGUUCUUGUAGUUUACGUAUCAAAAAGUUGAUAUAUUCUGAUAUUUUCAGCUUUCUUGUAAGAUUGGUACUAAGUAAUUGAAAGACCUCGUACCUGCGCCAAAGAAAUUAUCUCGGCUGUAAUACUGUGAGUUAGGGAAAAUGUAAAAAUCGCACUGUAAUCACGCGGAGUUUUGUUUGUGAGCCCUGUUCUGCGUAGUUCUUGUGGUUGGUUCCCUGAAAAAGAUCUAAAGAAUAACCAUGAAGUGUUUUGUGUUCUUAUGUGAAAGUGAUUUCCACGGCCAACUAGAAGAAGUAGCAUUUUCGGUGCACAGAUUCCCAAAGAACUUGGAUCGUCGAUUAGUAUGGCUUCAAGCUAUUUCCAAUGCCGAGAACAAAGUGAUAAAUGUUGACGUUAUUAAUUUUACCUCUGUUCGUAUUUGCUCAAAUCAUUUUCUGGAAAGUGCAUUUUAUUAUAACCAUGGCCGGAAAUGCUAACAAAACAGCCGUACCAUCUGUAUUCAACAACCGUCUCAAUUCAGGAUUUGUAAGCAGUAAUCCAGAUUCAUGUCAGUGGAGUAUCGUUCAUGACUCUGGUCUCGGUGAAACCAAUGAAUUUUCACUACUGAUUGAAUCUGUACCGACUGAGAAUAGCUUAUUUCAUCUACCUACCGGAACCGUGGUUUACAAGGGAGCAAUCUCUUCUCUGAACCCAUCUGCACCUGUGGAUUGAAAACGGUCUAUUUAAUCUACCUACCGGAAACGAAUGUAACGAAGCAUCUAUCUCUACUCCGGAGAAGUAUGUACCUAACGAACAGCGUCGAAGGUAUUUUUCACCCAUGGUUCAUAAAGAUUAUGAUUUCUCAGCAUGCAAUUUCAAUAAACUUCACGGAUCUGAUGAUUUGGAGACUUAUGGUGCUUUACCAAUGACACCGGAUUCAACGAUAAUAUUGUACCCAAGUUCCCUGCGAAUCAGCUUGUUCUUCGUGAAAAUAAUUCAAAUGCCAAAGGACGCCGAAGGUAUUAUUUAUAUAUUAUUAUGCUAGUAUGCCGGAGACAUCAAGGAUGAUAUAAUUGCGGAAGAAGCCUUAACAGCUGUGCCCAAGCUUAAGAAACAGCUCGAUCGGUCUCAGAAAACUAUUAAGCUGCUUCGAGGCCAAAAUAAACGCUUGAAGGAUCAAAUCUCUAGUUUGAAGGACUUGUUUGAUAUGCUCAAGUCAAAAAACUUCAUUUUUGACUCGUGCAACACGAUUCUGAAGGAUUAUUCAUCAAACGAUACUUUUUUUACGAAUUGAAAUCCCGAACGCAUGGCCAACCGUACAGUGCUGAAAUGUGAAGCUUUGCUACGACAUUGCCUUUUUAUUCACCGAAAGCGUACAGAUACGUGCGACACAUGUUCAACAAAACACUACCACACCAGCGAACUAUAAACCGCUGGUAUGAAAGUGUCAAUGGAGAACCGGGAAUCACAAGGGAAAGCUUGGAAGCUUUAAAGGUGAAAGCAAAUGAGACCAAACUUCAAGGAAAGUUGCUGCUAGGAUGCCUUAUGAUGGACGAGAUGGCCAUCCGCCAGCAAGUAAUUUGGAAUGAGCAGACCAAAAAACUGGAGGGAGUGGCCUAUUUGCAUUCUACCCAAACAACCGAAAAAAAUGCCAAGUCGUCAGCAGAACAAACACCUGCAGCAAAGGAAGCACUUGUAUUCAUGGUCACUGGCGUUCAAGACCCAUGGAAAAUACCGGUCGCUUAUUUUUUUUAUUAAAGGACUAAACGCUAUU
Aedes aegypti (yellow fever mosquito) is the source of this 2157-nucleotide long non-coding RNA. RefSeq lists it as uncharacterized. The transcript is spliced from 3 exons. Lineage: Eukaryota; Metazoa; Arthropoda; Insecta; Diptera; Culicidae. The record is from RefSeq and is a predicted model, not a curated record.